Non-coding RNA from Triticum aestivum (bread wheat), 109 nucleotides. Lineage: Eukaryota; Viridiplantae; Streptophyta; Magnoliopsida; Poales; Poaceae. The record is from Rfam.
CGUCCGAAAAUACUUGUCAUCAAAAUGGACAAAAGAGAAUGUAUGGAGAACUAAAAUACAUCUAAAUACAUCUCCUUUUAUUUAUUUUGGUGACAAGUAUUUCCGGACG